UGGGGAAUAUUGGACAAUGGGCGCAAGCCUGAUCCAGCCAUGCCGCGUGAGUGAUGAAGGCCCUAGGGUUGUAAAGCUCUUUCGCCAGGGACGAUAAUGACGGUACCUGGAUAAGAAGCCCCGGCUAACUUCGUGCCAGCAGCCGCGGUAAUACGAAGGGGGCUAGCGUUGUUCGGAAUCACUGGGCGUAAAGCGCACGUAGGCGGAUCUUUAAGUCAGGGGUGAAAUCCCGAGGCUCAACCUCGGAACUGCCUUUGAUACUGGAGGUCUCGAGUCCGGGAGAGGUGAGUGGAACUGCGAGUGUAGAGGUGAAAUUCGUAGAUAUUCGCAAGAACACCAGUGGCGAAGGCGGCUCACUGGCCCGGUACUGACGCUGAGGUGCGAAAGCGUGGGGAGCAAAACAGGAUUAGAUACCCUGGUAGUCCACGCCGUAAAACUAUGGAUGCUAGCCGUUGGGCAGCUUGCUGUUCAGUGGCGCAGCUAACGCUUUAAGCAUCCCGCCUGGGGGAGUACGGUCGCAAGAUUAAAAACUCAAAGGAAUUGACGGGGUC
This 551-nucleotide ribosomal RNA is filed under the name uncultured bacterium. Its description in RNAcentral is "partial 16S ribosomal RNA". It matches the Rfam family "Bacterial small subunit ribosomal RNA", at positions 355 to 920 of the family's 1533-position model. The record is from RNAcentral.